ACGGCAGCACGGGAGCAAUCCUGGUGGCGAGUGGCGAACGGGUGAGUAAUGUAUCGGAACGUACCUUUCAGUGGGGGAUAACGUAGCGAAAGUUACGCUAAUACCGCAUAUUCUAUGAGCAGGAAAGCAGGGGAUCGCAAGACCUUGCGCUGAUUGAGCGGCCGAUAUCAGAUUAGCUAGUUGGUGAGGUAAAGGCUCACCAAGGCGACGAUCUGUAGCGGGUCUGAGAGGAUGAUCCGCCACACUGGAACUGAGACACGGUCCAGACUCCUACGGGAGGCAGCAGUGGGGAAUUUUGGACAAUGGGGGCAACCCUGAUCCAGCCAUGCCGCGUGAGUGAAGAAGGCCUUCGGGUUGUAAAGCUCUUUCAGCCGGGAAGAAAUCACAUGGGUUAAUACCCUGUGUGGAUGACGGUACCGGAAUAAGAAGCACCGGCUAACUACGUGCCAGCAGCCGCGGUAAUACGUAGGGUGCGAGCGUUAAUCGGAAUUACUGGGCGUAAAGCGUGCGCAGGCGGUUUGUUAAGAUAGGCGUGAAAUCCCCGGGCUCAACCUGGGAACUGCGUUUAUGACUGGCAGGCUAGAGUAUGGCAGAGGGGGGUGGAAUUCCACGUGUAGCAGUGAAAUGCGUAGAGAUGUGGAGGAACACCGAUGGCGAAGGCAGCCCCCUGGGCCAAUACUGACGCUCAUGCACGAAAGCGUGGGUAGCAAACAGGAUUAGAUACCCUGGUAGUCCACGCCCUAAACGAUGUCAACUAGGUGUUGGGUGGGUAAAACCAUUUAGUACCGGAGCUAACGCGUGAAG
RNAcentral lists this ribosomal RNA (804 nucleotides) under uncultured bacterium. RNAcentral's name for it is "bacterial SSU rRNA". It matches the Rfam family "Bacterial small subunit ribosomal RNA", at positions 66 to 864 of the family's 1533-position model. The record is from RNAcentral.